UCAUUAGUUAAUAACAAUUGCUGACGACUUACUGUAAAGAUAAUUGCAUACCCUUGCCUGCACUUACUUUACAGUGUGAACUCAAACAUGCCUACAACCAGAUCCCAUUUUAAAACACAUUAUUUAGGUUACAUGGUACUGUUUAGACCCCAGUAUAGUUUUUCAUUUACUUAACAGUGAGUGGUUUUAAAAGCUAAGUGGAAGCUGCAACUAGCUUAGGGAUUUUCAGAUAUCCUGGUGCCUUACACUGUAUAUGUCAGAUUCCUGUAUUGAUACUAUGUAACUUUCAGUCAUACUCCAGACAGAUUACGGAAGGUGUACAAAGGCGGGGGAGGGAGUUUCAUCAACCCACAAACCGAUAUCUCUGGCCGUCACCCACCAGAGGAAACGGCUUAGGGGCGCAGCAAAGGAACCAGGAAGUAAGAUCUCCUGGUAAAGUGUUCAUUAACUUUCAACAGCCAUCAGAUUUUUGAAAGGGAAUCUCUUCUAAUUGCCUUUGGGAGGAAACAUUAUUAAGAUAAUUGGCAAGCUGAUCUGGGAAGGUAGGCAGCUCUGUCUUGUAACAGAGAUAAAAGUUUCCUUCGCCCGGGAGUCGGUUGUUCCCGGCUGAUCCCGGGAAGCCCCGCCUGAGCCCCGGUCUGGGGCGGGCAGCUGGGAGCCGGGGCGCCGCUGUCACCCGCGCCUCUGCCUGUCACUUACCGUUGCGAAAAGCGCCGGCCGGAGCGAGGACGAGGGCGAGCACGGCGCAGAGGAGCGGCAGCCCACUCUCCAUUCUCCCUUCUCCGGGUCCGCAGGCAGACGCGGGAGAACGAGGACGUGGGGGGAAAUGCAGCAAAGAGGGGAAUCUAAGCGAUCCGAAGAGCCCCAACUCCGCCUAGAGCUGUACAAUCCUCAGCCCGUCUUGGAGAAAAGAAAGCAGCGAGGCAAUGCCUGGA
Long non-coding RNA from Pan troglodytes (chimpanzee), 935 nucleotides. RefSeq lists it as uncharacterized. The transcript is spliced from 2 exons. Lineage: Eukaryota; Metazoa; Chordata; Mammalia; Primates; Hominidae. The record is from RefSeq and is a predicted model, not a curated record.